AUACCUUUCUCGGCCUUUUGGCUAAGAUCAAGUGUAGUAUCUGUUCUUAUCAGUUUAAUAUCUGAUAUGUGGGUUAUCGAUCCACCAUGAUAUUAAAUUAAUUUCUUGUGGGGGGAGGGUUCACCGUAGUGGCUUGCUACUAGGACCCUCACGCGUCGCCCAUGCAUUGCACUGUUGCAUGGGCCUGGCACGCCCCAA
Small nuclear RNA from Musa acuminata AAA Group (dessert banana), 198 nucleotides. RefSeq annotates it as U2 spliceosomal RNA. The record is from RefSeq and is a predicted model, not a curated record. The transcript has a single exon. NCBI's taxonomy places the organism in Eukaryota, Viridiplantae, Streptophyta, Magnoliopsida, Zingiberales, Musaceae.